AUUGAACGCUGGCGGCAUGCCUUACACAUGCAAGUCGAACGGUAACAGGUCUUCGGACGCUGACGAGUGGCGAACGGGUGAGUAAUACAUCGGAACGUGCCUAGUAGUAGGGGAUAACUACUCGAAAGAGUGGCUAAUACCGCAUGAGAUCUACGGAUGAAAGCAGGGGAUCGCAAGACCUUGUGCUACUAGAGCGGCCGAUGGCAGAUUAGGUAGUUGGUGGGAUAAAAGCUUACCAAGCCGACGAUCUGUAGCUGGUCUGAGAGGACGAUCAGCCACACUGGGACUGAGACACGGCCCAGACUCCUACGGGAGGCAGCAGUGGGGAAUUUUGGACAAUGGGCGCAAGCCUGAUCCAGCAAUGCCGCGUGCAGGAUGAAGGCCUUCGGGUUGUAAACUGCUUUUGUACGGAACGAAAAGCCCCGGGUUAAUACCCUGGGGUCAUGACGGUACCGUAAGAAUAAGCACCGGCUAACUACGUGCCAGCAGCCGCCGUAA
This 498-nucleotide ribosomal RNA is filed under the name uncultured bacterium. RNAcentral's name for it is "partial 16S ribosomal RNA". It matches the Rfam family "Bacterial small subunit ribosomal RNA", at positions 30 to 523 of the family's 1533-position model. The record is from RNAcentral.